Molecule: long non-coding RNA, 1070 nt
Filed under: Callithrix jacchus (white-tufted-ear marmoset)
Lineage: Eukaryota; Metazoa; Chordata; Mammalia; Primates; Cebidae
Description: lncRNA (ENSCJAG00000071334.1)
Source: RNAcentral
UGUUCUUUCACCCAGACUAGAGUGCAGUGGGGAGAUCAUGGCUGACUACAGCCUUGGUCUCUUGGGCUCAAUCACCCUGGAGUAGCUGGGACUACAGGCACCUGCCACCAUGCCCAACUUAUUUUUAAAAAGUUUUUUUAGAGGCAGGGUCUGGACAUAGAAUGUCACUAUUUUGUUUCGGCCGAUCUCCAACUCCUGGGUUCAAGGAAUCCUCCCACUUCAGCUUCCCAAAAUGCUGGGAUUGCAGGCCAAUUAUCAACUGCAAAAACUACAUUGCUUAUUGGAUUCAUCUACCUCCAAUGACAUGUUAGAUGAUCAAUGGCCAGUCACUUUCUAGAUCUCAGGCUCAGUCUGUGUUAAUGGAAAACCUGAAACUUUCAUUUCAACCUUGUUUAUAUCACCAGGAAGAAAUGAAUAUUUAUAAAACAAGAAAAGGGCACCAUCCAGGUGUUAUUUUUCUCAGUGAAUUAUACACAAUGAAGGAUAAUAAAACAGCUUCAGCGUAAACUCAAGUUGCUGCCAUUUAGCACUAAUUGCUUAGGCAUUUAUUCAGUUCUACAGGCAAAUGUAUGGGCGAUGAUGUCAUAGAGAAAUGUAUCAUGGUACAUUUGGAGGCAAUAAACUGGGCAGGUAAGAGCUUUCUUUUCAUUAAAGUCCAGCAGUUAGUGGAUAAAGAUGACUGAAUGAUCUAGGCUUGAGGGCUGGACCAAAGGGGUGGAAUCACCAAUCAGUUGAGGGUACAAAGCAGGAUUCAUUUUACCCUAAAGGAGUUGAAAGCAGAACUCUAGAUCAACAUGGUCAAGUGAACAUACAAGUUUAAUGUUGGUCUCUCCCAAAACUACACUGGAUCACAAAAAAAGUUAAUGUGAAAAACACACACACACACAUACCCACACACACAACUGUGUCAAAAACAAAAAAAAAUAUCUAUGGAAGACCAAAAAAGAAAAAAAAAAAAGAAAAGAAAACUGUCUAGAUGGUAUAAAUUAAAUAAUAAGUGAUUAAUGAAGAAACUCAUCAAGGAUCAACUGACGUUUGAGAAAAAGAUCAAUAAAAAAGAAGGAUCAAAA